ACUGACACUCAGGGACGAAAGCUAGGGGAGCGAAUGGGAUUAGAUACCCCAGUAGUCCUAGCCGUAAACGAUGGAUACUAGGUGUUGUCUGUAUCGACCCGGACAGUGCCGUAGCUAACGCGUUAAGUAUCCCGCCUGGGGAGUACGCACGCAAGUGUGAAACUCAAAGGAAUUGACGGGGGCCCGCACAAGCGGAGGAACAUGUGGUUUAAUUCGAUGAUACGCGAGGAACCUUACCCGGGCUUAAAUUGCAGAGGAAUGAUCUGGAAACAGGUCAGUCUUCGGACUUCUGUGAAGGUGCUGCAUGGUUGUCGUCAGCUCGUGCCGUGAGGUGUCGGCUUAAGUGCCAUAACGAGCGCAACCCUUGUGGUCAGUUACUAACAGGUAAUGCUGAGGACUCUGGCCAGACUGCCAUCGUAAGAUG
RNAcentral lists this ribosomal RNA (424 nucleotides) under uncultured bacterium. RNAcentral's name for it is "bacterial SSU rRNA". It matches the Rfam family "Bacterial small subunit ribosomal RNA", at positions 739 to 1165 of the family's 1533-position model. The record is from RNAcentral.